Molecule: long non-coding RNA, 245 nt
Filed under: Musa acuminata (dwarf banana)
Lineage: Eukaryota; Viridiplantae; Streptophyta; Magnoliopsida; Zingiberales; Musaceae
Description: long non-coding RNA (MACU_LNC006593)
Source: RNAcentral
UUUGACAUGGAUAUGUUAGUCACUUGCUGAGCUUUAUAUGCUCACCCGUUGUUGUAUAAAUUUUUCAGGAUAGCUUGUCGCUUGCUUAAAUGUUAAGGUUGGGCUGAGGUAGUGGAAAGCUAAAAGAUUUUGGGCAGAUCCUUAUUAGUAUAUAUGUUUUUGUUGUAUAAGUACACUCUGCAUCUAAUGAAAUGUUGACGAUGAAUCUAAACUUGUGGAUGUUGUAUAAGUUUAAAGGACCUCUC